GACUAAUAAAUUUUUUUGAGGGGGGGGGGCAAAAUGGGGGGCAUUUGCCCCCCCCCAUUUUGCCCCCCCCCCCCUCAAAAAAAUUUAUUAGUCACU
Molecule: microRNA precursor, 96 nt
Filed under: Paramuricea clavata
Lineage: Eukaryota; Metazoa; Cnidaria; Anthozoa; Malacalcyonacea; Plexauridae
Source: RNAcentral